UCCCUGUAGGCAUUUGAGGGACAAACAAAUGAAGAAAUGGUGAGCCCUCCUUCUGAUUUUGAAAUCAAUAAUAACAAAGGAAGGAGCGAUUAAGAGGUUCAGAGAGGUAAAUUCAAACAACGAUCUUCUCCUGGAACUAAUUGUGGAGGAUAAUUAAGUUGAAGUGGACAGUGUUGUUACUUCCAAAGCUCAAUCAGAAGUCCUUUGAAUUCAGAGGAGCAAGUCAAGAGAGGUCUCCAAAGUGGGAAGUCUGGACUGGAGCCCCACCCCAGUGCAGAAGAUGAGGUUUGAGGACAAAUCUUUGAAGGUGCUUUCACUCAAGUCAUCCCAGCUCUCUGCCCUUCAGGGACUGAGAAUUUGAUACCAGAAGACAUAUUUUACCGGCUUUUAUUUAAUUUCUUUGUUCCCAGAAGGAAGUAACUAUAAUUCACCCUAUGGGCCAUGUUAAUAUCUCCUUAUAAUUUUGAAGUCUUCUAAAAAUAUUUGUUGUUUGCUUCUUAAAGCACUAGAAAGGAGUGAAUCUCGGAUGCAACU
Urocitellus parryii (Arctic ground squirrel) is the source of this 534-nucleotide long non-coding RNA. RefSeq lists it as uncharacterized. The record is from RefSeq and is a predicted model, not a curated record. Lineage: Eukaryota; Metazoa; Chordata; Mammalia; Rodentia; Sciuridae.